ACCAACCUCCUCAUAAUCCUUCUCGAGGGCAGCAAGAUCUUCACGUGCUUCACUGAAUUCACCUUCCUCCAUACCCUCACCGACAUACCAAUGCACAAAAGCACGCUUGGCGUACAUCAGAUCAAACUUGUGGUCAAUGCGUGAGAAGACCUCAGCAACACUUGUUGAGUUGGAGAUCAUGCACACAGCCCUCUGUACCUUAGCAAGGUCACCACCAGGAACAACA
This 226-nucleotide unclassified non-coding RNA is filed under the name Hevea brasiliensis (rubber tree). Lineage: Eukaryota; Viridiplantae; Streptophyta; Magnoliopsida; Malpighiales; Euphorbiaceae. The record is from RNAcentral.